CUCUCUAGUGACCGAUAGUGAACCAGUACCGUGAGGGAAAGGUGAAAAGCACCCCGGAAGGGGAGUGAAAUAGAACCUGAAACCGUGUGCUUACAAGUAGUCAGAGCCCGUUAAUGGGUGAUGGCGUGCCUUUUGUAGAAUGAACCGGCGAGUUACGAUUUGAUGCAAGGUUAAGCAGUAAAUGUGGAGCCGUAGCGAAAGCGAGUCUGAAUAGGGCGUUUAGUAUUUGGUCGUAGACCCGAAACCAGGUGAUCUACCCUUGGUCAGGUUGAAGUUCAGGUAACACUGAAUGGAGGACCGAACCGACUUACGUUGAAAAGUGAGCGGAUGAACUGAGGGUAGCGGAGAAAUUCCAAUCGAACCUGGAGAUAGCUGGUUCUCUCCGAAAUAGCUUUAGGGCUAGCCUCAAGUGAUGAUUAUUGGAGGUAGAGCACUGUUUGGACGAGGGGCCCCUCUCGGGUUACCGAAUUCAGACAAACUCCGAAUGCCAAUUAAUUUAACUUGGGAGUCAGAACAUGGGUGAUAAGGUCCGUGUUCGAAAGGGAAACAGCCCAGACCACCAGCUAAGGUCCCAAAAUAUAUGUUAAGUGGAAAAGGAUGUGGCGUUGCCCAGACAACUAGGAUGUUGGCUUAGAAGCAGCCAUCAUUUAAAGAGUGCGUAAUAGCUCACUAGUCGAGUGACACUGCGCCGAAAAUGUACCGGGGCUAAACAUAUUACCGAAGCUGUGGAUUGUCCUUUGGACAAUGGUAGGAGAGCGUUCUAAGGGCGUUGAAGCAUGAUCGUAAGGACAUGUGGAGCGCUUAGAAGUGAGAAUGCCGGUGUGAGUAGCGAAAGACGGGUGAGAAUCCCGUCCACCGAUUGACUAAGGUUUCCA
Molecule: ribosomal RNA, 875 nt
Filed under: Staphylococcus aureus
Lineage: Bacteria; Bacillati; Bacillota; Bacilli; Caryophanales; Staphylococcaceae
Description: partial 23S ribosomal RNA
Rfam family: Bacterial large subunit ribosomal RNA
Source: RNAcentral